This 253-nucleotide ribosomal RNA is filed under the name uncultured bacterium. RNAcentral's name for it is "partial 16S ribosomal RNA". It matches the Rfam family "Bacterial small subunit ribosomal RNA", at positions 524 to 776 of the family's 1533-position model. The record is from RNAcentral.
UACAGAGGGUGCAAGCGUUGCUCGGAAUCAUUGGGCGUAAAGGGUUGGUAGGUGGUCUCAUUUGUCGGAGGUGAAAGCCUUGGGCUUAACCCAAGAAGUGCCUCCGAAACGGUGAGACUAGAGUUCUGGAGAGGCUAGGGGAAUUCCCGGUGUAGCGGUGAAAUGCGUAGAGAUCGGGAAGAACGCCGGCGGCGAAAGCGACUCUCUGGUCGGACCCUGACGCUGAGGCGCGAAAGCUAGGGGAGCAAACGGG